This 253-nucleotide ribosomal RNA is filed under the name uncultured bacterium. Its description in RNAcentral is "partial 16S ribosomal RNA". It matches the Rfam family "Bacterial small subunit ribosomal RNA", at positions 524 to 776 of the family's 1533-position model. The record is from RNAcentral.
UACGGAAGGGGCUAGCGUUGUUCGGAAUCAUUGGGCGUAAAGCGCGUGUAGGCGGUCCGGUAAGUCCGCUGUGAAAGUCGAGGGCUCAACCCUCGAAUGCCGGUGGAUACUGUCGGGCUUGAGUACGGGAGAGGCGAGUGGAAUUCCUGGUGUAGCGGUGAAAUGCGCAGAUAUCAGGAGGAACACCGAUUGCGAAGGCAGCUCGCUGGAACGUUACUGACGCUGAGACGCGAAAGCGUGGGGAGCAAACAGG